RNAcentral lists this long non-coding RNA (270 nucleotides) under Gossypium raimondii (Peruvian cotton). Its description in RNAcentral is "long non-coding RNA (GRAI_LNC003532)". Lineage: Eukaryota; Viridiplantae; Streptophyta; Magnoliopsida; Malvales; Malvaceae. The record is from RNAcentral.
CCCAACUUCAUCCACUAAACUAAGAUCGCAUAAUUUGAUAUCAGAGCUGGUUAAAACGAGAAGUACGGACGUCCAAAGUCAUCCCGAAAUAGGUACGUGAAAAUAAUUCAAAAAAAUGAAAAAAAUCGAAAUUAAAAAAAAAUAUAUAUGAAAUUAAAAAAAAAGAAAAAAAAUAUUCGUGAUUAAAAAAAAAGAGGAAUCAAAACGAUUUGUUUUCAAGUUUUGCGGAUUGAAGAAAGAUUGUUACACCUUUGUAACCCGGAUCACCCC